UUCCUCCUUUUUUGAGGUCAAAACCUAUUCAACCUACCAACAGAUCCUGAGGACUUUGUGGGAUACUUUUUAAUGGGCCAGCGCCGGCAACAAAGUCUGUUUGUUCAUUUCAUUUCACCAGGGACUGCUUCGAGAACGAGCGUGCUAAAAUGCUGGGUUUUCUUCUCAGCUCUGAUUAAAAAGAAAGGAUCAAUUCCUGCAAUCCCUCAUCCACUAGCUGCAUUCCUGCUUACGACUACAGCCACACAUAGAGUACCUUUUUUCAUGAGGUGAUGGUGAGGACAGCCACAGCUUCCAUCUGGUAGAGCACUGCUUCCGCUCAAAGACUUCCAAAUAGUGAUGAGAACAAAGAUCACGACAUCUCCCCAGUCAUCUGUCUACAACUAUACCUGUCCUGUUGCAGAAACAAAUCUCCAACAUAACCAAGUUUACCACCUACCCAGGACAUCAAGCACUUCCACUGCAAAAGCUUCUCUCCUCAAACCCCCAGGCUUCUCAACUCACUCAGUAACCUAUACAUUGCACAUGAGGAUGAAUUGUGAAGAUAACAGUUUCUUCCAGCUUUGGAGUACUGGUGCAUUUUCUGGUUGACAAUAAAGUUGGCUUUGACUAUUUAUACUGAACUCUGUUUUUAUAAAGGGUAAAACACUUUUA
Long non-coding RNA from Betta splendens (Siamese fighting fish), 654 nucleotides. RefSeq lists it as uncharacterized. Lineage: Eukaryota; Metazoa; Chordata; Actinopteri; Anabantiformes; Osphronemidae. The record is from RefSeq and is a predicted model, not a curated record. The transcript is spliced from 3 exons.